CAUGAUGGUCUAUUAUAUGCCAAAACAUUUAUGGUUAUGUCUUUUACUCAAAGUCUUAAAGGGUUUGUUGGGCUUGCAAAUAGUGAAUUAUUAGAUAUUUGUUUUUCUCAAGCAUUUUUAUACAAUGACAUUGCGUCCUUCGAUAGACUUAUAUUAUCAAAUAUUUUUGGAACAGUACUAUCUUUUGUCUUCAAAUCCUUUUUAAUAUUUUUUUACCCAUUAAUGGUUCCAUUUCGUGGUGUAUUUGCUUUUAUGCUAUCAUCAAUAUGUAUAACGCAAAUGAGUAAAAUUUUGUUUUUACUCUAUAAAAAUUUGAGAAAGUUGUAUAGAAUAUCACGUAGGAAAAUUUACACUUCUAUUUUGAAAGUGCGAUUACGAAAUCACCCCGAGUUUCAACCAUAUGCCAUGAAUCUAUUACAAGGUGAUGCGCUAAUUUUAGUUUCAAAAAUGUGGAAGCUGUCCUAUGUAAAUAUCGAUUCACAUUUACAAGGAAAUAACCUAUAUCCAAUUUUAAACAAUUUAUUCGAAAAUAAUUUUGGAUCAGGGUUUUUUAAUUUCAGCAAUGCGUUAUUUAGUUAUAUUUUAGAGAAUUUAAGGAAAUUUAAAUUGAUAACUGAGAAAGGAAUGAAUUUAGAAACAGCAGAUAAGUUUAAUAGUAAAAUAUUUGAAAAAGUUUUAUUUAUGCUUGAGGUAACUAAGAAUGCGUUACUUUAUGAAGAAACAUAUGCAAGUAUUGCUACUGCCAGUAUAUUGGUUAAAUUGUACACUGCUAUAGUAGUAAAUAUAAAUUAUCUUGGAAAAAUUGUACCUAAAGAACAUUUUGGUACAGAUAUAGACUCAGAAUUUAGACACAUAUAUGGAGAACAACUACAUGAAACAUUCUUACAAAGAACUAUUAAUACAUUAACACGAAAAUCUUAUAUAAAACAAAAUUUAAAUAAAAUUAAUAGAGGUUCAAUUCAAUUUACAAUGGCAUUAGUUAAGAUCAAAUUAUUACAUUAUAAACCAGAUGCAAAACAUCCUUAUUUUAGUUUUUAUUUUGAUGACGCAUUAAAAAGCCAAUUAAACAAAGCAAUGCGAUCAAUUCUGGUGGGUACUAAUGGUAUUAUAUCAAGUUUUGUUGUUUUUGGAGAAAGAUAUAAAAUGCUUAGAAAAUGUCCUUUAGAAAAUCUUAAAAAUAUGAGACACUUAUGCGAUAUUGAAGGUUAUAAAAUAAAACGGUUAUUAUUAGGAUUUAAAAUUUUUAUUAGUUUAUUAUUACCUUUAUAUAUGAGUGAUACAGAUGUAUUAAUUAACAAUCAAGUGGUAGGUCACAUGCUACAUUUUUUUGAGGUAAUGAUUGAAGAUAAAUCUUUAUAUACAUAUACAUAUUUAAAAGAAAUUAUUGAUUUGACAUAUAAAUAUGAAAGAAAAGAUACAGUAUUAGACACAAAUAAUAUCAAUUAUGAUGAAGAAAUAAAAAAUUUGUUACAUAGAGAAAUUAAUAAAGUAUUAAAUGAUGUUAACAAAGAAAAAAGAAGUAACUUAAAAUUUCACUCAUAUGAACUAAAAAACGAAGAAGUAAGUUUAUAUAACGUACAAGGGGAACAUUAUAAAUUUGUUUUUAAUCAAAAAAAUAUGGUACAAAAAUUUGCAAAUGUAAUACAUAGUAAUGACUAUGGAAGUUCAAUAAUGCAACAUUUAUCAUUCAUUAGGUUUGAACCUGUACAAGGUAAUGGUGGCAAUUUAAUUGUAGACGCAAAUCAUUAUUCAUUUACAGGAAACUUAACACAGUCACAUAUAUAUACAGCAGAUAAUAAAGAUCUGUUAAUAACUGAUCUAAUUUUUUACACAUUGUGGGCUUCUGGAAUUGACAAAUUUAGUGCCAUGAUAGUAAGUGUUGCAUACAUGCGUUGAUACAAAUACAUAUAUAUAUAUAUAUAUAUAUAUAGUUACAUAUUUGCCAAACUAUUCGUUAAUACAUAGUUUCACACCAUAUUAUUUACACCAUGUUGUUCACAUUAUUUUAUAUUAUUACUAUUGUUUACCCUAUUGCUAUUCUGUUUAAAUUUUAUUCUGAUGUUACUUUAAGAGUGCACGCUGUUUGCUACAAUAUGUUUUUGCACAAACUAUAUAUACAUUUUUUAUAUAUUUACUUUAUUUACUUUAUUUUUUAUUUUUUUUUAUUUUUUUUUCCUCUAGUUUUCGUCAUUAUUUGGAGCUGUUAAACAAUUGUUUCACAAUGGACUAUCUUGGAAAAGAGCUAUUAUGUUAAUGCAGCCAACCGAAUUUUAUUCAGUGGUUGAUAUGUUUGUUAACAAAAGUAUGAUAGAAGCAGAUAAGAGUUUAAAUUUUUUUAUAAAGAGAGUUAAAAAAUAUAGAUUUCAUUUUAACAAAACAACUUUUGUUAGUAUGUUUAGAUUAUUUUUAGAAAAUGUACUUGUCAGGAUUAAUUUUUAUGAUCCAGAAGAAGCGA
This 2455-nucleotide long non-coding RNA is filed under the name Piliocolobus tephrosceles (Ugandan red Colobus). Its description in RNAcentral is "lncRNA (ENSPTEG00000003325.1)". Lineage: Eukaryota; Metazoa; Chordata; Mammalia; Primates; Cercopithecidae. The record is from RNAcentral.